Molecule: non-coding RNA, 90 nt
Filed under: Pseudomonas helmanticensis
Lineage: Bacteria; Pseudomonadati; Pseudomonadota; Gammaproteobacteria; Pseudomonadales; Pseudomonadaceae
Also listed under: 1 other name
Source: RNAcentral
CUUAAUGGUAGCUGUGCGCAGGGCGCCUUCGGGUGCGCCGGGACUGCUUAGAACCACCGGUCGACUAACCUGCGCAUAGCUGCCACCCAU